This 274-nucleotide ribosomal RNA is filed under the name uncultured bacterium. Its description in RNAcentral is "partial 16S ribosomal RNA". It matches the Rfam family "Bacterial small subunit ribosomal RNA", at positions 523 to 796 of the family's 1533-position model. The record is from RNAcentral.
AUACGGAGGGUGCAAGCGUUAUUCGGAAUCACUGGGCGUAAAGGACGCGUAGGCGGGUUGGCAAGUCAGAUGUGAAAUCCUACAGCUUAACUGUAGAACUGCAUUUGAAACUGCUAACCUAGAGUAUGGGAGGGGGAGAUGGGAUUAGUGGUGUAGGGGUAAAAUCCGUAGAUAUCACUAGGAAUACCGAAAGCGAAGGCGAUCUCCUGGAACAUAACUGACGCUAAGGCGUGAAAGCGUGGGGAGCAAACAGGAUUAGAUACCCUAGUAGUCC